GAUAUGUCUCUUUGUCUUUGUCUUUUUAGUUCACUCAGAAAAAAAAGCACUUUAAUGCAAGUUUCCAAUAAGGCUUUGAAAAAAAUCAAUCUUCAAUCCUCACAUAUCAGAAACCUCAGAAAAGAAAACACAAUGAGAUGUUUCAGAUCAAAUACUCCAAGAACUAAACCACCACCACCUUCGUACGGACAUCAAGGCACCAUUCAUCACCAAACCGUAAGAGAAGAAGUGCUACUACAGAUUCAGGGAUGCAGAGCCCAUCUCAUCGACGGAUCCGAAGCGGUGGAGCUCGCCGCCGGAGACUUCGAGCUUGUACAGGUCUCAGAAAAUGGCGUAGCUCUAGGUAUGGUCGUGAGGAUCGGAAACGACCUACAGUGGCCGGUGAUUAAAGACGAGCCAGUGGUGAAACUCGACGCUCGUGACUACCUCUUCACGCUUCCGGUGAAAGACGGAGACCCACUCAGCUACGGCGUCACAUUCUUCCCUCGAGACCCAAACGACGUUGUUUUCGUGAACAGCCUCGAGUUGCUAGACGACUUCUUGAGAGAGAACUCGUGUUUCUCUUCUUCGUCUUCUUCUUCUUCGCGUGUUAACAAUGGAAUCGAUUGGAAAGAGUUUGCGCCUAGGAUUGAAGAUUAUAACAAUGUCGUGGCUAAAGCCAUUGCUGGAGGGACAGGGCAUAUCAUUAGAGGGAUGUUCAAAUGCAGUAAUGCUUACACUAAUCAGGUUAACAAAGGAGGUGAAACUAUGAUUACGAAGGCUGAGAAGAAGAGUGGUGCGUCGUCGAAAAGAAAUGCGACCACGAACAAGAACCAAAUCAACAAGAAUCUUCAACGAGUGAGGAAACUUUCCAGAGCUACUGAGAAACUGAGCAAGACUAUGUUGAAUGGUGUGGGAGUGGUGAGUGGUUCGGUGAUGGCUCCUAUUGUGAAGUCAAAGCCAGGAAAAGCUUUUUUCUCAAUGGUUCCAGGGGAAGUUCUCCUGGCUUCAGUUGAUGCUCUUAAUAAAAUACUAGAUGCUGCUGAAGCUGCAGAGAGACAAACUUUUUCUGCUACAUCCAAAGCUACAACUAGAAUGGUUAGCGAGAGGUAAGUUUCACUUGCAAAGUCUAACUCUAGAUCACAUUUAUGACUACUAUUGGGUGUAUAGUAUCUUGUAUAUAGGAGCUAAAUACGUGUACAUAAUACGGAUAUACAUAGUAGGAUACUGUACAGUUGGAGAUUAAUAUUAAUGUGAAAUAACUAUAGUUUAAUGAUUACAUCCUUAAACUAAUUAGUUUAAGGAUGUAAUCAUUAGUUUAAGGAUGUAAUCAUUAAACUAAUUGAACAGCGUGAGGUUUCAAUUGCUUCAGAUGUUUUCAAUUUUCCUUAAAUGAUUUGCAAAAGAACCCUUCUAUUAUAUUUGCCAUUGGCGUCCACGGUUGAGAUUAAUAAAUAUAAAUCAGUAUUAGUUCAAGUUGUGUGUUCACUUAGUACUUGUCAUUGUUUAUAUGAGUGCAUGCAUCCUCCUUCAAU
This is an RNA transcript of Brassica rapa (field mustard), 1514 nucleotides long. It is a transcript of the gene named senescence/dehydration-associated protein At4g35985, chloroplastic, with no coding region annotated. NCBI's taxonomy places the organism in Eukaryota, Viridiplantae, Streptophyta, Magnoliopsida, Brassicales, Brassicaceae. The record is from RefSeq and is a predicted model, not a curated record.